Molecule: ribosomal RNA, 253 nt
Filed under: uncultured bacterium
Lineage: Bacteria
Description: partial 16S ribosomal RNA
Rfam family: Bacterial small subunit ribosomal RNA
Source: RNAcentral
CACGUAGGGCGCAAGCGUUGUCCGGAAUUAUUGGGCGUAAAGAGCUCGUAGGCGGUCUGUUACGUCUGCUGUGAAAACCCAGGGCUUAACCCUGGGCUUGCAGUGGAUACGGGCAGACUAGAGGCAGGUAGGGGAGAAUGGAAUUCCCGGUGUAGCGGUGAAAUGCGCAGAUAUCGGGAGGAACACCGGUGGCGAAGGCGAGUCCCUGGACAACUCCUGACACUGAGGCACGAAAGCUAGGGGAGCAAACAGG